AGAGUUUGAUCAUGGCUCAGGACGAACGCUGGCGGCGUGCUUAACACAUGCAAGUCGAACGAUGAAGCUCCAGCUUGCUGGGGUGGAUUAGUGGCGAACGGGUGAGUAAUACGUGAGUAACCUGCCCCCUUCUUCGGGAUAAGCCUUAGAAACGGGGUCUAAUACUGGAUAUUCUGCCCUGGGCCGCAUGUUUGGUGUUGGAAAGGGUUUCUGGGGGGGGAUGGGCUCACGGCCUAUCAGCUUGUUGGUGGGGUGAUGGCCUACCAAGGCGUCGACGGGUAGCCGGCCUGAGAGGGUGACCGGCCACAUUGGGACUGAGAUACGGCCCAGACUCCUACGGGAGGCAGCAGUGGGGAAUAUUGCACAAUGGACGCAAGUCUGAUGCAGCGACGCCGCCGUGGGGGAUGAAGGCUUUCGGGUUGUAAACUCCUUUUAACACUGAACAAGGCGUUUUUGUUGAGGGUAGGUGUU
RNAcentral lists this ribosomal RNA (471 nucleotides) under uncultured bacterium. RNAcentral's name for it is "bacterial SSU rRNA". It matches the Rfam family "Bacterial small subunit ribosomal RNA", at positions 8 to 483 of the family's 1533-position model. The record is from RNAcentral.